This 442-nucleotide ribosomal RNA is filed under the name uncultured bacterium. RNAcentral describes it as "bacterial SSU rRNA". It matches the Rfam family "Bacterial small subunit ribosomal RNA", at positions 338 to 796 of the family's 1533-position model. The record is from RNAcentral.
CCUACGGGAGGCAGCAGUAGGGAAUUUUCCACAAUGGGCGAAAGCCUGAUGGAGCAACGCCGCGUGCAGGAUGAAGGUUCUAGGAUUGUAAACUGCUUUUAUCUGUGACGAAUAUGACGGUAGCAGAUGAAUAAGGAUCGGCUAACUCCGUGCCAGCAGCCGCGGUCAUACGGAGGAUCCAAGCGUUAUCCGGAAUUACUGGGCGUAAAGAGUUGCGUAGGUGGCAUUGUAAGUCGGUAGUGAAAGCGUGUGGCUCAACCAUAUACACAUUAUCGAAACUGCAAAGCUAGAGGAUGAGAGAGGUUAUUGGAAUUCCCAGUGUAGGAGUGAAAUCCGUAGAUAUUGGGAGGAACACCGAUGGCGUAGGCAGAUAACUGGCUCAUUCCUGACACUAAGGCACGAAAGCGUGGGGAGCAAACGGGAUUAGAUACCCCAGUAGUCC